RNAcentral lists this ribosomal RNA (456 nucleotides) under Anaerococcus hydrogenalis. Its description in RNAcentral is "partial 23S ribosomal RNA". It matches the Rfam family "Bacterial large subunit ribosomal RNA", at positions 2452 to 2925 of the family's 2925-position model. The record is from RNAcentral. Lineage: Bacteria; Bacillati; Bacillota; Tissierellia; Tissierellales; Peptoniphilaceae.
ACGGAUAAAAGCUACCCCGGGGAUAACAGGCUUAUCUCCCCCAAGAGUCCACAUCGACGGGGAGGUUUGGCACCUCGAUGUCGGCUCGUCUCAUCCUGGGGCUGGAGUAGGUCCCAAGGGUUGGGCUGUUCGCCCAUUAAAGAGGCACGCGAGCUGGGUUCAGAACGUCGUGAGACAGUUCGGUCCCUAUCCAGCGUGGGCGUAAGAAAUUUGAGAGGAGCUGUCCUUAGUACGAGAGGACCGGGAUGGACGCACCAAUGGUGUACGAGUUGUUAGGCCACUAGCAUGGCUCGGUAGCUAAGUGCGGAAUUGAUAAGUACUGAAAGCAUCUAAGUACGAAGCAACCCUCAAGAUAAGAUUUCUUAGAGUAGGUAAAGAAAAUACCUUUGAUAGGUCCAAGGUGUAAGUGCAGUAAUGUAUUAAGCUAAUGGAUACUAAACUUUAUAUCUUGACUGG